This is a long non-coding RNA of Carassius gibelio (silver crucian carp), 5855 nucleotides long. RefSeq lists it as uncharacterized. The record is from RefSeq and is a predicted model, not a curated record. The transcript has 6 exons. Lineage: Eukaryota; Metazoa; Chordata; Actinopteri; Cypriniformes; Cyprinidae.
ACUUAUUAGAAAUGGGAUCUUUAUAGCCCUUUAAAAUAUAAUAAUGUCCCAUAUCUCGAAAAUUCUGCAGUAAAAUGGUUUGAUAUGAGGUGUGCAUAUAGUAUGGGAUGUCCCUGAUAAGAACUGACUUUUGUUUUUUUCUACUUAUUAGAAAUGGGAUCUUUAUAGCCCUUUAAAGUGUAAUAAUGUCCCAUAUCUUGAAAAUGCUGGAGUAAAAUGGUUUGAUAUGAGGUGUGCAUAUAGUAUGGGACAUCCCUGAUAAGAACUGACUGUUGCUUUUUUCUACUUAUUAGAAAUGGGAUCUUUACAGCCCUUUAUAGUGUAAUAAUGUCCCGUAUCUUAAAAAUGCUGCAGUAAAAUGGUUUGAUAUGAGGUGUGCAUAUAGUAUGGGACGUCCCUGAUAAGAACUGACUAUUGUUUUUUUCUACUUAUUAGAAAUGGUGUCUUUAUAGCCCUCUAAAUCAUUGUAUUGUCCCAUAUCUGAAAAAUGCUGCAGUAAAAUGGUUUGAUAUGAGGUGUGCAAAUAGUAUGGGACAUCCCUUAUAGGAACAGACCAUUGUUUUUUUUCUACUUAUUAGAAAUGGGAUCUUUACAGCCAUUUAAAGUGUAAUAAUGUCCCAUAUCUCGAAAAUGCUGCAGUAAAAUGGUUUGAUAUGAGGUGUGCAUAUAGUAUGGCAUGUCCUUUAUAAGAACUGACCAUUGUUUUUUUCUACUUAUUAGAAAUUAUGUCUUUAUAGCCCUCCAAAUCACCAUUUGGACCCAUAUCUCAAAAAUGCUGCAGUAAAAUUGUUUGAUAUGAGGUGUGCAUAUAGUAUGGGAUGUCCCUGAUAAGAACUGACUUUUGUUUUUUUCUACUUAUUAGAAAUGGGAUCUUUACAGCCCUUUAAAGUGUAAAAAUGUCUCGUAUCUUAAAAAUGCUGCAGUAAAAUGGUUUCAUAUGAAGGGUGCAUAUAGUAUGGGACGUCCCUGAUAAGAACUGACUAUUGUUUUUUUCUACUUAUUAGAAAUGUUGUCUUUAUAGCCCUCUAAAUUGCCACAUGGACCCAUAUCUCAAAAAUGCUGCAGUAAAAUGGUUUGAUAUGAUUUGUGCAUAUAGUAUGGAAUGUCCUUUAUAAGAUCUGACCAUUGUUUUUUUCUACUUAUUAGAAAUGGGAUCUUCACAGCCCGUUAAAGUGUAAUAAUUUCCCAUUUCUGGAAAAAGCUGCAGUAAAAUGGUUUGAUAUGAGAUGUGCUCAUAGUAUGGGACGUCACUGAUAAGAACUGACUUUUGUUUUUUUCUACUUAUUAGAAAUGGGAUCUUUAUAGCCCUUUAAAGUGUAAUAAUGUCCCAUAUCUUGAAAAUGCUGGAGUAAAAUGGUUUGAUAUGAGGUGUGCAUAUAGUAUGGGACAUCCCUGAUAAGAACUGACUGUUGCUUUUUUCUACUUAUUAGAAAUGGGAUCUUUACAGCCCUUUAUAGUGUAAUAAUGUCCCGUAUCUUAAAAAUGCUGCAGUAAAAUGGUUUGAUAUGAGGUGUGCAAAUAGUAUGGGACAUCCCUUAUAGGAACAGACCAUUGUUUUUUUCUACUUAUUAGAAAUGGGAUCUUUACAGCCAUUUAAAGUGUAAUAAUGUCCCAUAUCUCGAAAAUGCUGCAGUAAAAUGGUUUGAUAUGAGGUGUGCAUAUAGUAUGGCAUGUCCUUUAUAAGAACUGACCAUUGUUUUUUUCUACUUAUUAGAAAUUAUGUCUUUAUAGCCCUCCAAAUCACCAUUUGGACCCAUAUCUCAAAAAUGCUGCAGUAAAAUUGUUUGAUAUGAGGUGUGCAUAUAGUAUGGCAUAUCCUUUAUAAGAACUGACCAUUGUUUUUUUCUACUUAUUAGAAAUGGGGUCUUUAUAGCCCUUUAAAGUGUAAUAAUGUCCCAUAUCUCAAAAAUGCUGCAGUAAAAGGGUUUGAUAUGAGGUGUGCAUAUAGUAUGGGAUGUCCUUUAUAAGAACUGACCAUUGUUUUUUUCUACUUAUUAGAAAUGAUGUCUUUAUAGUCCUCCAAAUCACCAUUUGGACCCAUAUCUCAAAAAUGCUGCAGUAAAAUGGUUUGAUAUGAGGUGUGCAUAUAGUAUGGGAUGUCCCUGAUAAGAACUGACUUUUGUUUUUUUCUACUUAUUAGAAAUGGGAUCUUUAUAGCCCUUUAAAGUGUAAUAAUGUCCCAUAUCUUGAAAAUGCUGCAGUAAAAUGGUUUGAUAUGAGGUGUGCAUAUAGUAUGGGACAUCCCUGAUAAGAACUGACUGUUGCUUUUUUCUACUUAUUAGAAAUGGGAUCUUUACAGCCAUUUAAAGUGUAAUAAUGUCCCAUAUUUUGAAAAUGCUGCAGUAAAAUGGUUUGAUAUGAGGUGUGCAUAUAGUAUGGGAUGUUCCUGAUAAGAACUGACUUUUGUUUUUUUCUACUUAUUAGAAAUGGGAUCUUUAUAGCCCUUUAAAGUGUAAUAAUGUCCCAUAUCUUGAAAAUGCUGCAGUAAAAUGGUUUGAUAUGAGGUGUGCAUAUAGUAUGGGACAUCCCUGAUAAGAACUGACUGUUGCUUUUUUCUACUUAUUAGAAAUGGGAUCUUUACAGCCAUUUAAAGUGUAAUAAUGUCCCAUAUCUCGAAAAUGCUGCAGUAAAAUGGUUUGAUAUGAGGUGUGCAUAUAGUAUGGGAUGUCCCUGAUAAGAACUGACUUUUGUUUUUUUCUACUUAUUAGAAAUGGGAUCUUUAUGACCCUUUAAAUUGUAAUAAUGUCCCAUAUCUUGAAAAUGCUGCAGUAAAAUGGUUUGAUAUGAGGUGUGCAUAUAGUAUGGGACAUCCCUGAUAAGAACUGACUGUUGCUUUUUUCUACUUAUUAGAAAUGGGAUCUUUACAGCCAUUUAAAAUGUAACAAUGUCCCAUAUCUCGAAAAUGCUGCAGUAAAAUGGUUUGAUAUGAGGUGUGCAAAUAGUAUGGGACAUCCCUUAUAGGAACAGACCAUUGUUUUUUUCUACUUAUUAGAAAUGGGAUCUUUACAGCCAUUUAAAGUGUAAUAAUGUCCCAUAUCUCGAAAAUGCUGCAGUAAAAUGGUUUGAUAUGAGGUGUGCAUAUAGUAUGGCAUGUCCUUUAUAAGAACUGACCAUUGUUUUUUUCUACUUAUUAGAAAUUAUGUCUUUAUAGCCCUCCAAAUCACCAUUUGGACCCAUAUCUCAAAAAUGCUGCAGUAAAAUUGUUUGAUAUGAGGUGUGCAUAUAGUAUGGCAUAUCCUUUAUAAGAACUGACCAUUGUUUUUUUCUACUUAUUAGAAAUGGGGUCUUUAUAGCCCUUUAAAGUGUAAUAAUGUCCCAUAUCUCAAAAAUGCUGCAGUAAAAGGGUUUGAUAUGAGGUGUGCAUAUAGUAUGGGAUGUCCUUUAUAAGAACUGACCAUUGUUUUUUUCUACUUAUUAGAAAUGAUGUCUUUAUAGUCCUCCAAAUCACCAUUUGGACCCAUAUCUCAAAAAUGCUGCAGUAAAAUGGUUUGAUAUGAGGUGUGCAUAUAGUAUGGGAUGUCCCUGAUAAGAACUGACUUUUGUUUUUUUCUACUUAUUAGAAAUGGGAUCUUUAUAGCCCUUUAAAGUGUAAUAAUGUCCCAUAUCUUGAAAAUGCUGCAGUAAAAUGGUUUGAUAUGAGGUGUGCAUAUAGUAUGGGACAUCCCUGAUAAGAACUGACUGUUGCUUUUUUCUACUUAUUAGAAAUGGGAUCUUUACAGCCAUUUAAAGUGUAAUAAUGUCCCAUAUUUUGAAAAUGCUGCAGUAAAAUGGUUUGAUAUGAGGUGUGCAUAUAGUAUGGGAUGUUCCUGAUAAGAACUGACUUUUGUUUUUUUCUACUUAUUAGAAAUGGGAUCUUUAUAGCCCUUUAAAGUGUAAUAAUGUCCCAUAUCUUGAAAAUGCUGCAGUAAAAUGGUUUGAUAUGAGGUGUGCAUAUAGUAUGGGACAUCCCUGAUAAGAACUGACUGUUGCUUUUUUCUACUUAUUAGAAAUGGGAUCUUUACAGCCAUUUAAAGUGUAAUAAUGUCCCAUAUCUCGAAAAUGCUGCAGUAAAAUGGUUUGAUAUGAGGUGUGCAUAUAGUAUGGGAUGUCCCUGAUAAGAACUGACUUUUGUUUUUUUCUACUUAUUAGAAAUGGGAUCUUUAUGACCCUUUAAAUUGUAAUAAUGUCCCAUAUCUUGAAAAUGCUGCAGUAAAAUGGUUUGAUAUGAGGUGUGCAUAUAGUAUGGGACAUCCCUGAUAAGAACUGACUGUUGCUUUUUUCUACUUAUUAGAAAUGGGAUCUUUACAGCCAUUUAAAAUGUAACAAUGUCCCAUAUCUCGAAAAUGCUGCAGUAAAAUGGUUUGAUAUGAGGUGUGCAUAUAGUAUGGGACGUCCCUGAUAAGAACUGAUUUUUGUUUUUUUCUACUUAUUAGAAAUGGGAUCUUUAUGACCCUUUAAAUUGUAAUAAUGUCCCAUAUCUUGAAAAUGCUGCAGUAAAAUGGUUUGAUAUGAGGUGUGCAUAUAGUAUGGGACAUCCCUGAUAAGAACUGACUGUUGCUUUUUUCUACUUAUUAGAAAUGGGAUCUUUACAGCCAUUUAAAAUGUAAUAAUGUCCCAUAUCUCGAAAAUGCUGCAGUAAAAUGGUUUGAUAUGAGGUGUGCAUAUAGUAUGGGACAUCCCUGAUAAGAACUGACUAUUGUUUUUUUCUACUUAUUAGAAAUGGUGUCUUUAUAGCCCUCUAAAUCAUUGUAUUGUCCCAUAUCUGAAAAAUGCUGCAGUAAAAUGGUUUGAAAUGAGGUGUGCAUAUAGUAUGGGACAUCCCAGAUAAGAACUGACUGUUGUUUUUUUCUACUUAUUAGAAAUGGGAUCUUUACAGCCAUUUAAAGUGUAAUAAUGUCCCAUAUCUCGAAAAUGCUGCAGUAAAAUGGUUUGAUAUGAGGUGUGCAUAUAGUAUGGCAUGUCCUUUAUAAGAACUGACCAUUGUUUUUUUCUACUUAUUAGAAAUGGGGUCUUUGUAGCACUCUAAAUCACCAUUUGGACCCAUAUCUCAAAAAUGCUGCAGUAAAAGGGUUUGAUAUGAGGUGUGCAUAUAGUAUGGGACAUCCCUUAUAGGAACAUACCAUUGUUUUUAUCUACUUAUUAGAAAUGGGAUCUUUAUAGCCCUUUAAAAUAUAAUAAUGUCCCAUAUCUCGAAAAUUCUGCAGUAAAAUGGUUUGAUAUGAGGUGUGCAUAUAGUAUGGGAUGUCCCUGAUAAGAACUGACUUUUGUUUUUUUCUACUUAUUAGAAAUGGGAUCUUUACAGCCCUUUAAAGUGUAAAAAUGUCUCGUAUCUUAAAAAUGCUGCAGUAAAAUGGUUUCAUAUGAAGGGUGCAUAUAGUAUGGGACGUCCCUGAUAAGAACUGACUAUUGUUUUUUUCUACUUAUUAGAAAUGUUGUCUUUAUAGCCCUCUAAAUUGCCACAUGGACCCAUAUCUCAAAAAUGCUGCAGUAAAAUGGUUUGAUAUGAUUUGUGCAUAUAGUAUGGAAUGUCCUUUAUAAGAUCUGACCAUUGUUUUUUUCUACUUAUUAGAAAUGGGAUCUUCACAGCCCGUUAAAGUGUAAUAAUUUCCCAUUUCUGGAAAAAGCUGCAGUAAAAUGGUUUGAUAUGAGAUGUGCUCAUAGUAUGGGACGUCACUGAUGAGAACUGACUAUUAUUUUUUUCUACUUAUUAGAAAUGGGGUCUUUAUAGCACUCUAAAUUGCCAUAUGGACCCAUAUCUCAAACAUGCUGCAGUAAAAUGCUUUGAUAUGAGGUGUGCAUAUAGUAUGGCAUGUGCUUUAUAAGAACUGACCAUUGUUUUUUUCUACUUAUUAUAAAUGGUGUCUUUAUAGCCCUCC